UCCAACCCCUGUGACAUACCUUAAUGUUGCCUCGGCGGAUCAGCCCGCGCCCCGUAAAACGGGACGGCCCGCCAGAGGACCCAAACUCUAAUGUUUCUUAUUGUAACUUCUGAGUAAAACAAACAAAUAAAUCAAAACUUUCAACAACGGAUCUCUUGGUUCUGGCAUCGAUGAAGAACGCAGCAAAAUGCGAUAAGUAAUGUGAAUUGCAGAAUUCAGUGAAUCAUCGAAUCUUUGAACGCACAUUGCGCCCGCUGGUAUUCCGGCGGGCAUGCCUGUUCGAGCGUCAUUUCAACCCUCAAGCCCCCGGGUUUGGUGUUGGGGAUCGGCUCUGCCCUUCUGGGCGGUGCCGCCCCCGAAAUACAUUGGCGGUCUCGCUGCAGCCUCCAUUGCGUAGUAGCUAACACCUCGCAACUGGAACGCGGCGCGGCCAUGCCGUAAAACCCCAACUUCUGAAUGUUGACCUCGGAUCAGGUAGGAAUACCCGCUGAACUUAAGCAUAUCAAUAAGCGGAGGA
Molecule: ribosomal RNA, 517 nt
Filed under: Fusarium tricinctum
Lineage: Eukaryota; Fungi; Ascomycota; Sordariomycetes; Hypocreales; Nectriaceae
Description: eukaryotic LSU rRNA
Rfam family: 5.8S ribosomal RNA (bases 136-289)
Source: RNAcentral